Molecule: long non-coding RNA, 423 nt
Filed under: Mytilus galloprovincialis (Mediterranean mussel)
Lineage: Eukaryota; Metazoa; Mollusca; Bivalvia; Mytilida; Mytilidae
Source: RNAcentral
GCCUGGGAUAAGAAAAUCCUUAGUUUUUCGAAAAUUCAAAGUUUUGUAAACAGGAAAUUUAUAAAAAUGACCACAUUAUUGAUAUUCAUGUCAACACCGAAGUGUUGACUACUGGGCUGGUGAUACCCUCGGGACCGAAACGUCCACCAGCAGUGGCAUCGACCCAGUGGUGUAAAUAGUUAUCAAAGCUACCAGGAUUAUAAUUUAAUACGCCAGACGCGCGUUUCGUCUACACAAGAUUCAUCAGUGACGCUCUUAUCAAAAUAUUUAUAAAGCCAAACAAGUAAACAGUUGAAGAGCAUUGAGGAUCAAAAAUUCCAAAAAUUGUGCCAAAUACGGCUAAGGUAAUCUAUGCCUGGGAUAAGAAAAUCCUUAGUUUUUCGAAAAUUCAAAGUUUUGUAAACAGGAAAUUUAUAAAAAUGA